UGGGGAUGACGUCAAGUCAUCAUGGCCCUUACGGCUAGGGCUUCACACGUUAUACAAUGGUGCAUACAGAGGGUUGCCAAGCCGCGAGGUGGAGCUAAUCCCAGAAAACUCAUCGUAGUCCGGAUCGUAGUCUGCAACUCGACUGCGUGAAGUUGGAAUCGCUAGUAAUCGCGGAUCAG
RNAcentral lists this ribosomal RNA (179 nucleotides) under Ralstonia sp. PaPiEm3-17. Its description in RNAcentral is "partial 16S ribosomal RNA". It matches the Rfam family "Bacterial small subunit ribosomal RNA", at positions 1174 to 1352 of the family's 1533-position model. Lineage: Bacteria; Pseudomonadati; Pseudomonadota; Betaproteobacteria; Burkholderiales; Burkholderiaceae. The record is from RNAcentral.